Molecule: long non-coding RNA, 1061 nt
Filed under: Hordeum vulgare
Lineage: Eukaryota; Viridiplantae; Streptophyta; Magnoliopsida; Poales; Poaceae
Description: long non-coding RNA (HVUL_LNC012046)
Source: RNAcentral
UUGUAAUCCAUAUCAUGUUUUUCUAUCUAGGCUACUUAAUUUCGAUUGUAAUUUGUAGGAUCCCUUUGCACUGUUACAUGCAAAAAAUUCCCAUUCAUACAAAUGCCUUGUAAGAACUCUGCAUUUUCCCUACGGCGUAUCAGACACCCUUUGGUGAAACCUUAUGAUUUCCAAUCCUUUAUGGCCCAGGAAGAACUCUGUGUUUCCCCUACGGUGUAUCAGACACCCUUUGGUGAAGCCCUAUGAUUUCCAAUCCUUUAUGGCCCAGGAAGACAUGCCAUUGCAAUUUUGGGUUUCAUAUUCCUCUAUGGAAUUUUUGAAUUGGAUACCCUUAAGUUUGCAAUUUCCCUAUCUGGUCAAUCUGCGUACACAUAUAUACAACAACAAAGCCUUUCAGUCCCAAACAAGUUGGGGUAAGCUACAGUUGAAACCCAUAAGAUACCGAAACCAAGCCAUGGUUCUGGCACGUGGAUGGUUAACUUCCACACACCCUGCCCAUGGCUAAAUCUUUGGUGAUAUUCCAGUCCUUAGACAUGACAUGCAGAUAUUUCAACCAACCAACAUACAGUACCGCCUUUCAGUCCCAAACAAGUAGGGGUAAGCUAGAGUUGAAACCCAUAAGAUAUCGUAACCAAGUAAUGGUUUUGACACGUGGAUAGCUAACUUCCACUCACCCCUAUCCAUGGCUACAUCAUUGGUGAUAUUCCAGUCCUUCAGACAUGACAUGCAGAUAUUUCAACCAACCAACAUACAGUACCCACCUUGCCGUGCAAUGCAGCGGCCACAUAUGAUAACAUCUUCGUUUUGUUCCUGGUAGAAUAUGGAGUAGCCUAAUAUUCAUGGUAGAUAACUUUCUCUUUGGCCAGAGAAUUGUGUUAUUUAUGUAAUUAGUACCAGUGGGAACUGGAGUUACUGGACUAAUAUUUUAAAUUGGUCUCGUUUUUCUAUUAUUUUGUUUUGUUUAAUCUUUGGGAAUGGAGGAGAAAGGGAUGAAUUGUUAGAAAUUGCAGUUUGAAUUUUGCUCAACUGUACUAGUUUUUGCAGAAAUGACAUAUAUGCAG